This is a long non-coding RNA of Chelonia mydas (Green sea turtle), 1338 nucleotides long. RefSeq lists it as uncharacterized. Lineage: Eukaryota; Metazoa; Chordata; Testudines; Cheloniidae. The transcript has 3 exons. The record is from RefSeq and is a predicted model, not a curated record.
CCUACCCGAUACUCACAUUGUUUAAGUAAUUUCCAGUAACAUCCACGUCGAUGGAUAGUACUUUUAAAACAACUACUCGAAGUAUUUCUUUUCAUUUGAAUUGCUUUCUUCCACUCACAGAAAUUGUUUUCAUAGACUGUAUGAAGAGAGAAGCUUCUAGAUAGGGGUUUUCAAACAAACCCAAGGAAAUGAGACAUCCAGUUCCCAUUGGAUCUGGAUGGCAUGUGGGCCCCUGUCUCUCUUAGGCGCCUUUGAAAACCCCACCCCUAGUUCGUAAGCACACCAGUAUCUUUUAAGGGGGAACAGAAUGUUUCUGGAGUCAGGGUAUACAGACUUUGGGUAAGCACAAAAGUCCACCUGCAGCUUCUCUAGCUGCAGCAUAUUAGAUACCCAGCGGAAACCAGGAGGUAAAAAGUCUGGGGAAGUUAAAAUAACUUAACCAAAUUUCCAGACGUUUCCUCAGCCCUUUGGAAAAACUCACCCCCCACUCUCAGAGACACCCUAUCGGCGUAACAUUAAUCUAUUCCCAUUUCAGGAAAGUUCCUGAAGGAUUCAGCAAAAAGAAAAGGAGGACUUGUGGCGCCUUAGAGACUAACCAAUUUAUUUGAGCAUAAGCUUUCGUGAGCUACAGCUCACUUCAAGGAUUCUGGUUAAUUAUCGAUUCAACACUGCCGCCACAUGGCAGCUGUGCGAAUUGCAGCGCAUAAGCAGGUAACAUAAGCUUGGUCCUUUUGGAUGGUGCCUCUCCUCCAUGCUGGACCAGGAGGCGCGGUAAAUGCAGAGAAAAGACAAAUAUUCUUCAGCAGGCAGAGCGUGAAGCACUGGCAAGGCUGCUUUUGAAUCCGGGUUUUGUUGUGUUUCUAUAAGUUCGAGGUUCUUUUUCUUCCCAGCCCAUGAAAAUUCGUCUGCUCGCGGACUCUGUCUUCUGAGGGGCUCUGCCUUGCAGCUGUGACGAAUAUAAAGUGACAGUCCGGGAUCCACAAAUCCUUUAAACCCCCAAAAUUCAUUUUAUUUCUCAGACUUCCCCUCGGUGGUUUUAAUUGCUAUUCACCUAUCGCCACGGCCCAUUGCUGGGGAAAUCUUAAGAAAGACACUUUUCCCGAAGACAAGUAGCUUGAGGUUGAUGCCAUAGACAGAGAACAGGGAUCCAGAGGAGGGAUGAAAAGAUCAGAGUGACACGGAAAACCAAGGACAAGGGAAAUGGUCUUUGCAAAGACGUUCUGAAUAGAGGUCCCUGCUGGGCUCAGGGUCACCGUGUCACCGCCUGGCGCAGGAACAGCCGGCGGUGUCUGCAGCUGUCAGCGAGCGGAGCCGCAGGUACAGCUCGUUGCUGGAAGU